Physella acuta is the source of this 435-nucleotide long non-coding RNA. RefSeq lists it as uncharacterized. NCBI's taxonomy places the organism in Eukaryota, Metazoa, Mollusca, Gastropoda, Physidae. The record is from RefSeq and is a predicted model, not a curated record.
AUUUCGGAUUGGAGUGAACAUACUAUUUGUUUUCAUUUCGUUUGAGAUAUCUAAUCUAGUGACUAUACCCCGAUCAAAGAAAGAUGAAGCUACUGUUGAUGUUCUGUUUGCUCGGAUUUGUGGCUGUUUGCAAAGCUCAAGACAGUUGUGUGGUUGAUGGUGUUACCUAUAGGAACGGUGAGGAGAUCCCAACAGGCGACCCCUGCAACCCGUGUUACUGUCACGUACCAGCAGGCCGCGUGUGUGCCGCACUCUACUGCUCCUGGCCCAGGUGUGACCCUGGACAGGCUGUGACCUACUACCCUGGUCAGUGCUGCCCUGGAUGCGAGCCUGCACAACUAGUCAGCUGAAACAAGAGCUCCUUCAUCCAAAGAUUUCCAUAAAAAUGUGAAUUGAACAAAAUAGCGAAAUAAAUUACAUGUGAACCGCUCGAAA